GAUGAACGCUGGCGGCGUGCCUAAUACAUGCAAGUCGAGCGAACAGACGAGGAGCUUGCUCCUCUGACGUUAGCGGCGGACGGGUGAGUAACACGUGGAUAACCUACCUAUAAGACUGGGAUAACUUCGGGAAACCGGAGCUAAUACCGGAUAAUAUAUUGAACCGCAUGGUUCAAUAGUGAAAGACGGUUUUGCUGUCACUUAUAGAUGGAUCCGCGCCGCAUUAGCUAGUUGGUAAGGUAACGGCUUACCAAGGCAACGAUGCGUAGCCGACCUGAGAGAGUGAUCGGCCACACUGGAACUGGGACACGGUCCAGACUCCUACGGGAGGCAGCAGUAGGGAAUCGUCCGCAAUGGGCGAAAGCCUGACGGAGCAACGCCGCGUGAGUGAUGAAGGUCUUCGGAUCGUAAAACUCUGUUAUUAGGGAAGAACAAAUGUGUAAGUAACUAUGCACGUCUUGACGGUACCUAAUCAGAAAGCCACGGCUAACUACGUG
This 497-nucleotide ribosomal RNA is filed under the name uncultured bacterium. RNAcentral's name for it is "partial 16S ribosomal RNA". It matches the Rfam family "Bacterial small subunit ribosomal RNA", at positions 28 to 507 of the family's 1533-position model. The record is from RNAcentral.